Molecule: ribosomal RNA, 253 nt
Filed under: uncultured bacterium
Lineage: Bacteria
Description: partial 16S ribosomal RNA
Rfam family: Bacterial small subunit ribosomal RNA
Source: RNAcentral
UACGGAGGGUGCAAGCGUUGUUCGGAAUUAUUGGGCGUAAAGGGCGUGUAGGCGGUUUUGUAAGUCUGAUGUGAAAGCCCCGGGCUCAACCUGGGAAGUGCAUUGGAAACUGCGAGACUUGAGUACGGGAGAGGGCAGUGGAAUUCCUGGUGUAGGAGUGAAAUCCGUAGAUAUCAGGAGGAACACCGGUGGCGAAGGCGGCUGCCUGGACCGAUACUGACGCUGAGACGCGAAAGCGUGGGGAGCAAACAGG